GUCUGAGCCUGUCUCCACCGACGCGGUAACGAGGUGCACGUCAAGCAAAGAGCUUACCUUCCCGCGACCUAUCACGAAAACCGACCACCCACGGUUUCUCCGAAGCACGAUCACGUUACCUUAUAGAAUUUUCGUCGUCGACGAUUCUUCAGAUAAUCUGCGUCCCGGAUGCCAGCGUUAAUUAGAGAUAAUUAUCAUACCAUGGUUGAUCAACCGUUUUCACGUAAUUGCCGUCAUACAAAAAUUCUGUUUCCUAUGGUAAAUCAAAGAUGGCACUGCGGCUAGUAAUUGAAUCGAUAUCGAUACACAUCGAUGUAAACGAUUCGAUUUACCCUCGUAAUGCAAUCUAACCUAAUCGAUUUAGUAAAAAGGUUAACAAAGCUAAAUAUAUCUACAUAAUAAAAUUACGCAUUGCAUUCUAACUUGAUUACUUUCAACAUUAUAUAUAUCGUUGAUCGAUAAUCGAUAAUAGCAUGAUAGUACAAUAGAAAUAGAUAAAAGUCAUACAUAUGAAUAACUGGAUAUGAUUAAAACACGGUUAAGUAAAUAUUGAUCAGUGUGCUUCAUUAUUCGAUUAGGGAUUUGCCGUGUAUUCAACUAUAGAGGAACAGUGUAUGAAACGAUCUAUAAGCACGUUUUACCGCAGUUUGUCCACAACCCUUUGAUUUUUCCGCGUGGUUCGGACGGCGCCGUAUAAUCAACCAUAGGACACUUAUCAAACGCAGGGAAUGUUAUCAGUACAGAGAAAGAUGAAUCAAGGUGCCUGCACCCAUGUACGUACAAACGCACAUACCUACGAUCCGUCAACGUGUGUCACGUACAUUAACACGGAUUGCUGCGUUUUCACGUUGCCGAGCAAUGCGUGGUCUACAUCGCGAGUGCGUAAGUGUACGGGCUACGGGAAAGGAAAGAGGAAGAACAAGAGGGAAGAAGCAAAGAGAAAAAGGAAGAAAGACGAAGAAAGAAGGGAGAGAACGAAGGGAGAAGAGAACUCGGAUGUGCUGUGGAGCAGAGUCGUGUGAGGUGAGGGCGCACCUGGACCUUCUUCUCCAUAGGCGUACAAGGGCUCUCACUGCCUUCCACUCCACGAUUCAACCACCCAACGGACUGCCUCCAGUUACGUGUACCAAAGUUUCUUCUUUCUCUGUUUUCGACCCUUUCUUUUUCUCUCUCAUUCGCCCGUCUCUCUUUCUCUUUUUUUUAGCCACGUAGAUCGCACGAGAGCGUGCGUACCAUUGGAAUCCACGCCCGCCGACACAAAUGCGGUUUACAGCGGCUUUGCCAGAGCAGCGUGAUGCUUGGUAUUUUGUAAAAAAGACAAAUUUUACUAUUCCGGUAUCACGCAAAAAGAACAGAGAAACGUAAUACUAGGAUUAUAAAUGAAAAAAAGCGAUGGAACAUCGUGUGACGGUUUGAAGGAUCAUACAGUGGAAUUUGGAGAUUGCAGGAAAUUCUAAUGAAACGUUAAAUGCAUUAAAAACUGAUAGCGAAACUUAUAAGAACUGCACACGAGCGCUGUCUGACCAAAUUCAGUUGGUCGGAAAUGGUCGAGGCGCGUACCCGUAUGGAAUCCAGAGUGAACGCAUUACACGCAAGCGACGACUCGUACUCGAUGAAGAUGUAAGGGCCGCAUUGUGUCCUGUACCGUCGAGAGAACUCGAGAAUAAAGAGAGAGAGAGACAGAGAGAGAAGACGAGAGAGAAAGUAUUCACGUAUAUACUGAGCGGGACCGCAACUACUAACGUGGGGUAGAUCUCAGCGCGGAUAGUGCUUUAUUUCAUCAAAGGGACAACAAGGAAGCCGAGAUAACGCCGCAUGCUUCACAGAAAGGAGCACUUCGGAUAGAGGAGUAUGCACGGCACGCACGACGCGCUCGAUGAUCCAUAAUCGUGUGUAGUCGCAAUAACCACGCUCCAGUUGCAUCCUUCGUAAAAUUCUUCAAACAGUAAUCUUCAACGAAAAAUACCGCACAAUAACUUCCUCUUUUAAGACGAUGACAAUAAAUCUUAGAGUCACCGCAUAAAACUGAUAAAUAUAACAAAUAUGAUAAACGAAAAUGGUACAUCUUUUCUAAACGGUCUAAGAAACAAUUAUGUCACCAGUAUUAAUUAAUUAAUGCCAUUGCAUCGAAGGUUUAUAGAAUUUCGCUCGAGUAUGAAAGUUAGAACAGCAGAUGAACACGUAAUGGGAGCACAGAAACAAUAUGGGAAGCUGUACCAAUGGAACGAAAGGGUUGUUUACUGUUACCCAUGCGGGCUAUCGGAAGUAUCGGCUUGUGUCGCUGGAAUAAAGGCCGGAUAAUUUUAUGCGGGCAAUGCGAAUUAAAUAAGCCAUAUAAUACCUCUACUUGAUCGUGUAUCAUUAAAGAGUUGUAGGUCAAGGAGUUGGUAUGAGUAUAUCAUAGCCAAGAUCGAAUCGGUGGACAAAGUUUCCUGAGCCAAAAAGCGUCUACCGUUGAAACGGUUCUACAAUAUGGGUUCCCGAUUUCAGGGUGACGAUAGAGGAGCCAAAGAGAGGAGAGGGAAGAAAAAGAGAGGAAAGGAGAGAGAGAACAAGAGCGUUGCUCGCUAUUGUUUUCUCGAGUGGUACUCACUGGUUCAAUGCUCGCCUGCUCUGGUAGACCGGUACCAGAUGUACCCGGACCGCCUGGUUUCAACUGUGAUACCAUGCCACGCCAUUCCUGAUGACUACGGUUCCCAGCUUACCAAACAUUUUUGCCAUUCUUCUAACCAGCAGCAACGCGUUAUUCAUUUACGCUAUUAGCUAAGUUCAGCUGUUUGCAUGGAUCAAGUCAAAGGUACUCGAGGAGAAGGACUAAGAAAAAUUACAGUCGCAGAUUUCUUACAACUAAUCUGAAAAUAACGGGUUGCUGACCUAAUUUAGCUUGACCUUAACACUGCAGCAAAGAAUGGAAUAAAAUAUUGGGACUAGGUUUUAUAACGAACUUACCUUCCAAUUGUUUUUAAUGGAUAGAUAGGAAAAUUCAGCUAACACGAUUUUGCGACCAACUAAAUUAUAUAUUUUUUUUUUGUUUUUAGUGCAUACAUUAAGAAAAUGUUCGCAUGUGAUGCGAAUAAGCUGUGAAUACAAUGAAAAUCAUAUAUGUGUUUCGCCUUUGGUUGAUUGUGCACUGACGAUAUGUACGAAUAAGUUUAAGAAACAAGGCGUUGACGCGAAAGAAUCGAUCGGUAACAAAUAAAAUUUUGAUAAAGGAAUGUCUAUUGCUGUGUAGUGAAUCUUUGCUUAUCACGUCGAUUGUAGAACUAGCCAUAUCUAAGAAUAUUAAGAAUCAAUUUUUUAAAUCUAAUGCUUCAAUAUCUUUGCAAAUUGAAGUUUGCAAAUUUCUUUUUAACAAUUCCGUUAAAUUCGUAACACAACAGUCAACGUGUUAACACUUUGCCCACGUUAAAUUCGACGAAACUCCUAAAGAAUCGUAACUUUAUUUGAAGCUUCGAGAGAUUCAUUGAAGUGCAAAUUUGUACGUCACCAAAAUAAGCGGCGAUCAGCGCGUUUACAAUUCUGUCUCUUUAGCAAAGCGUCAAUUGUUGCACCGGCGAUAGGAAUGAUGAAAUUUGAAGGGAAAGAACGGCAAUUGAUGUUGUUUAAAAGAAUACUCUGUAUUACAACUGGCGAAUAGCAUCCACGACGACAUUGUAACUCAGAAUACCGAUCAAUUGUUGUACCAACACCGAAUGAAAAAUACGCUUCAUCAAGUUAUACGAUUAAAAAAAAAAA
Long non-coding RNA from Megachile rotundata (alfalfa leafcutting bee), 3735 nucleotides. NCBI's taxonomy places the organism in Eukaryota, Metazoa, Arthropoda, Insecta, Hymenoptera, Megachilidae. The record is from RefSeq and is a predicted model, not a curated record.